RNAcentral lists this ribosomal RNA (472 nucleotides) under uncultured bacterium. RNAcentral describes it as "bacterial SSU rRNA". It matches the Rfam family "Bacterial small subunit ribosomal RNA", at positions 34 to 507 of the family's 1533-position model. The record is from RNAcentral.
CGCUGGCGGCAUGCCUAACACAUGCAAGUCGAACGAGAAUCUGUGGAUUGAGGAUUCGUCCAAAUGAAGCAGAGGACAGUGGCGGACGGGUGAGUAACGCGUGAGGAACCUGCCUUUCAGAGGGGGACAACAGUUGGAAACGACUGCUAAUACCGCAUAACGCGUAGAGAUCGCAUGGUCUUUACGCCAAAGAUUUAUCGCUGAAAGAUGGGCUCGCGUCUGAUUAGCUAGUUGGUGGGGUAACGGCCCACCAAGGCGACGAUCAGUAGCCGGACUGAGAGGUUGGCCGGCCACAUUGGGACUGAGACACGGCCCAGACUCCUACGGGAGGCAGCAGUGGGGAAUAUUGGGCAAUGGGCGCAAGCCUGACCCAGCAACGCCGCGUGAAGGAAGAAGGCUUUCGGGUUGUAAACUUCUUUUGUCAGGGACGAUAAUGACGGUACCUGACGAAUAAGCCACGGCUAACUACGUG